Molecule: ribosomal RNA, 238 nt
Filed under: Ixodes scapularis (black-legged tick)
Lineage: Eukaryota; Metazoa; Arthropoda; Arachnida; Ixodida; Ixodidae
Description: eukaryotic large subunit ribosomal RNA
Source: RNAcentral
GACUCUGUGAAGACACGCGAGAGCUGUAGCAUAAGUGGGAGGCCAUGAACCCUCGUGGUUGUGUCGUGCCGACAGUGAAAUACCACUACUUUCAUCGUUUCAUUACUUAUACCCCGGUCAGACGGCAGCUAAAAUGGCAUUUACGCCAAAUGACAUUCAGUGUAAAUGCCAUUUAGGCACUGCUACACGGCAACUCAAAUGGCAUUUUACCUAAAUGCCAUUUCGGGUAAACAGAGUU